CUUCCAUCGGAGCUAGGUAGA
Molecule: microRNA, 21 nt
Filed under: Ectocarpus siliculosus
Lineage: Eukaryota; Phaeophyceae; Ectocarpales; Ectocarpaceae
Description: esi-miR3454e-3p
Source: miRBase by way of RNAcentral